CUCUCAUUUUUAUUACCUAUCUGACCCCUGAAGGGUUUGCCUUUUCCACCUCUCAGUCUGGGUGGGGACAAAUCAGAAAAUGCUGAGUGCCAGGCUGAGCAGGGUAGACUUUGUCUUUGAGUAAGCUGAGUUUUGAAGGAUGUUAAGAAGGGAUUUGACAUAAGGAAGUCAAUGGUAUGUGGGAAAUAGUGAUUGACUGUGUACUAGGACUUAAGGGGAAGCGCUGUUUUUUUUUUGAAACGGAGUCUCGCUCUGUCACCCGAGCUGGUGCAAUCUCAGCUCACUGCACCCUCCACCUCCCAGGUUCAAGCGAUUCUCCUGUCCCAGCCUCCUGAGUAGCUGGGAUUACAGGCAUGAGCCACAGUGCCCAGCUG
RNAcentral lists this small RNA (374 nucleotides) under Pongo abelii (Sumatran orangutan). RNAcentral describes it as "sense intronic". The record is from RNAcentral. Lineage: Eukaryota; Metazoa; Chordata; Mammalia; Primates; Hominidae.